RNAcentral lists this transfer RNA (76 nucleotides) under Saprospiraceae bacterium. Its description in RNAcentral is "tRNA-Val". It matches the Rfam family "tRNA". Rfam says of the family: Transfer RNA (tRNA) molecules are approximately 80 nucleotides in length. Lineage: Bacteria; Pseudomonadati; Bacteroidota; Saprospiria; Saprospirales; Saprospiraceae. RNAcentral also lists the same sequence under 1 other name. The record is from RNAcentral.
AGCCCUGUGGAGCCGAGUGAUUUAAGGCGCUUGUUUUACAUGCAAGAAUUCGCAGGUUUGAAUCCUGCCAGGGCUA